This 497-nucleotide ribosomal RNA is filed under the name uncultured bacterium. RNAcentral's name for it is "partial 16S ribosomal RNA". It matches the Rfam family "Bacterial small subunit ribosomal RNA", at positions 28 to 507 of the family's 1533-position model. The record is from RNAcentral.
GACGAACGCUGGCGGCGUGCCUAAUACAUGCAAGUUGAGCGAUGAAGCUUGGUGCUUGCACCAAUUUGAAGAGCAGCGAACGGGUGAGUAACGCGUGGGGAAUCUGCCUUUGAGCGGGGGACAACAUUUGGAAACGAAUGCUAAUACCGCAUAACAACUUUAAACAUAAGUUUUAAGUUUGAAAGAUGCAAUUGCAUCACUCAAAGAUGAUCCCGCGUUGUAUUAGCUAGUUGGUGAGGUAAAGGCUCACCAAGGCGAUGAUACAUAGCCGACCUGAGAGGGUGAUCGGCCACAUUGGGACUGAGACACGGCCCAAACUCCUACGGGAGGCAGCAGUAGGGAAUCUUCGGCAAUGGACGAAAGUCUGACCGAGCAACGCCGCGUGAGUGAAGAAGGUUUUCGGAUCGAAAAACUCUGUUGGUAGAGAAGAACGUUGGUGAGAGUGGAAAGCUCAUCAAGUGACGGUAACUACCCAGAAAGGGACGGCUAACUACGUG